CUUUGCUGGCACAAUCUUCGUGCUGCAAACUAACUUCGUGUAAGACUGAUGUAUUGAUGUAUUGACUGAUUCAAUUAGCAAAGACCAAAAAGAAGAAAUCUUUAAAGAAUUCUGUAUGCUUGGGAACUACAAUAAACAAAAUGCUUAUUUAUUUGGAUUGGUAAGGCCUUAUGAGUGUAAGAGAGGUUAUGCAAACAAGAGAAAAGAUGCCAAAGUCAGUCAAAGGAAGGUUUCAUUCAGAUACUAUGUUUGUGUUACUAAUAUUAGUGAACUUGAAGUCUGCAGAAGUGCAUUUCUAGCAGUCCACGGAAUAUCACUGAAAUGUUUAAGAACUGUUCGGAAAAGUGAAGAAUGUGUUAGAGAAGUUCCUGAUGAAGAAGAGGGUCA
This 387-nucleotide long non-coding RNA is filed under the name Androctonus crassicauda. Lineage: Eukaryota; Metazoa; Arthropoda; Arachnida; Scorpiones; Buthidae. The record is from RNAcentral.